RNAcentral lists this ribosomal RNA (487 nucleotides) under uncultured bacterium. Its description in RNAcentral is "partial 16S ribosomal RNA". It matches the Rfam family "Bacterial small subunit ribosomal RNA", at positions 28 to 523 of the family's 1533-position model. The record is from RNAcentral.
GAUAAACGCUGGCGGCGCACAUAAGACAUGCAAGUCGAACGGACUUAACUCAUUCUUUUAGAUUGAGAGCGGUUAGUGGCGGACUGGGGAGUAACACGUAAGCAACCUGCCUAUCAGAGGGGAAUAACAGUGAGAAAUCCUUGCUAAUACCGCAUAAGCUAGUAGCAUCGCAUGAUGUAGCUAGAAAAGGAGUAAUCCGCUGAUAGAUGGGCUUGCGUCUGAUUAGCUAGUUGGUGGGGCAACGGCCUACCAAGGCGACGAUCGGUAGCCGGACUGAGAGGUUGAACGGCCACAUUGGGACUGAGAUACGGCCCAGACUCCUACGGGAGGCAGCAGUCGGGAAUAUUGCGCAAUGGAGGAAACUCUGACGCAGUGACGCCGCGUAUAGGAAGAAGGUUUUCGGAUUGUAAACUAUUGUCGUGAGGGAAGAAAUUGACAGUACCUCAGGAGGAAGCUCCGGCUAACUAUGUGCCAGCCGCCGCGGUAA